This 1120-nucleotide long non-coding RNA is filed under the name Homo sapiens (human). RNAcentral's name for it is "long intergenic non-protein coding RNA 1823". The record is from RNAcentral. Lineage: Eukaryota; Metazoa; Chordata; Mammalia; Primates; Hominidae.
UAGCAUUGUCAUCGCUCUGGGUUCCACCCACACUCAGGGAUAGAAAAAUAAUACAUGCCAAAAGAAAUUUGAGGAACAAAUUCAGCCCUGAGACAGGUCACGGAAACAGCCCUCCAGUCUUCCUCAAGAAAUGUAGACUGAAUCAGCAUUUACCCACCCCUGGAAAAACGCAGGAGCUGCGCAUUCCUGGGAUCUCAGCAGGGCUUUUGGGAAGAGCAGAACUGGGCUGGAGUCACGGUUUCUGGGCUGACUCUAGAUUUUCCCCGGCUUUUGCCACCUGUGAUGGCUGGAGAGUAUCUGAAGAUGACAGCCAGUGUCCUUAGCUUGUGAAGAUUGGAUGAUGGCCGGGGCCCUCAGACCCCUUGGCCCCUCCUUAACUGCAGGUCUUCAAAAGCCCAACACCUGUUCGUCAUUUCUGUGGCUUCCCAGGGAGUCUUACUCUUCUGCUUCAAGCUGCUGGGUUUGACUCUGAGCAGUUUCUGUGCAGCCACAAAGAUUCUUAUGUGAGACACACUGCUGCUUCAGAGUGCUCCAACCCAUCUCCCCUGAUUAAACACUAACCAGGGCUGCCACAGCAAAGUGGCUCAAAUGGGUGACGUCAACAACAGAUUUACUUUCUCAUAGUUCUGGAGGCAGGUGUCUAGGAUCAAGGUGGUGGCAAGGCUAUUCCUUCUGUUGCCUCCCUCCUUGCCUUGUGGAUGACCGUCUUCUCCGCGUCUUUCCAAGAUCUCUCCUCUGUGCAUGUCAGUGUCCUUGCUUCCUCUUCUUAUGAAGACACCGGUCAUGUUGGAAUGCAACAGAAGAGAGUGCACGGCUUCUGAGGUUGCAGCUUUUGGGAGAAGCCAUCUACCAUUGAUGACAGACAUGCCGUGUGGAAACCAAACCAGCCAUGUGGAGAGGCUACCUGGACAGAGGCACAGGGCCAGCAGCAGCUGUGGAGACAGACAUGUGAGCAAAGAAAUCAUCUUUGAUGUACAGCCAAGUUGAGCCUUCAGAUGACUCCGAUUUCAGCCACCUUUGGACUGCAACCACAUGAAAGACUCUAAAUAGAAGCCUCCCAGCUGAUCCCGGUUAACCCACAGUGCUGAAGGGGAUAAUAAUAAAUUGUUGUUUUAAGCCA